GUUAUCACAACCACAAAGAAACUUAAAGUGAUUAUGGAGAAGAAGACAUUCAUUUCCCUUCCUCUCUUAUCUUUUCUUCUUCUCUGCCUUUUUUCCAUUGCUCAUUCUCAAGAUUCUGAGGAUCAAUCAAAAACAUGCCCAGUGAAAUUUGCAUCAACAGGGACAUGUUCUGGGCCAUUUGGAGUAUCAGAAUGUUACCAUGAAGCAAUGGCAAAGUAUGGAAAUAUCCCACCAAAGGGUUGUGAAUGCAUUCCUGAUGGCGCUAAUUCUCGCUUCUGCCUAUGCAAUAUCAUUUGUUAAUCGAUACGUACCAAUAUGACAAUCAAAUAAAUGAUGGAGUUCUUGUAAUAUACAAAGCCCAAUCAAUGCAUGUUAACUCAUUAUAUGUUUC
This is a long non-coding RNA of Cucumis sativus (cucumber), 391 nucleotides long. RefSeq lists it as uncharacterized. The record is from RefSeq and is a predicted model, not a curated record. The transcript has 2 exons. NCBI's taxonomy places the organism in Eukaryota, Viridiplantae, Streptophyta, Magnoliopsida, Cucurbitales, Cucurbitaceae.